Molecule: ribosomal RNA, 482 nt
Filed under: uncultured bacterium
Lineage: Bacteria
Description: partial 16S ribosomal RNA
Rfam family: Bacterial small subunit ribosomal RNA
Source: RNAcentral
AUUGAACGCUGGCGGCAUGCUUUACACAUGCAAGUCGAACGGUAACAGGCCGCAAGGUGCUGACGAGUGGCGAACGGGUGAGUAAUGCAUCGGAACGUGCCCAGUCGUGGGGGAUAACUACUCGAAAGAGUAGCUAAUACCGCAUACGAUCUAUGGAUGAAAGCGGGGGACCGUAAGGCCUCGCGCGAUUGGAGCGGCCGAUGUCAGAUUAGGUAGUUUGUGGGGUAAAGGCUCACCAAGCCAACGAUCUGUAGCUGGUCUGAGAGGACGACCAGCCACACUGGGACUGAGACACGGCCCAGACUCCUACGGGAGGCAGCAGUGGGGAAUUUUGGACAAUGGGCGCAAGCCUGAUCCAGCAAUGCCGCGUGCAGGAAGAAGGCCUUCGGGUUGUAAACUGCUUUUGUACGGAACGAAACGGCUCUGGUUAAUACCCGGGGCUAAUGACGGUACCGUAAGAAUAAGCACCGGCUAACUACGUG